Long non-coding RNA from Dreissena polymorpha, 1487 nucleotides. RefSeq lists it as uncharacterized. NCBI's taxonomy places the organism in Eukaryota, Metazoa, Mollusca, Bivalvia, Myida, Dreissenidae. The transcript has 3 exons. The record is from RefSeq and is a predicted model, not a curated record.
UGUACACGUCACUUUUGAUCGAAUGGAUGGAGAUUUCUGCGAAAAUUUAAUAAAGCAAAUAUCAUGUGAUGCGAUAAACAGUUUUGAAAGCCAGAUUGCGUCGGGUUAUUCUCUUUCACAACGUUAUCUUGAGCUAUAAAUUACAUCAUGUCGUCAAAUGCUCAUACCAAUUGCAAAUGUGUCAGUUGAAUGGAAGAACCACUGUUGGGGUUCCACAUAUGAUGCGUUCAUCUGUCAGCUAAAAAAGGGCACAAAUACAAGAUUCAAUUUUGUAAAAGUCUAGCCUAUAAUAAGUCACAUCCACUCGAGAAGAGAACUUUGAUAUAUCAAGCGGUUUGGUUCGACGACUAGGCUUCCCGUGCCAGAAAAGUGAGCCGAUCGAGAUGCUUUCCGUGCCUCAACGAAAGCGAAAAGGGGCAGCGAAGAAUGAACAGAUAGGCAGCAUUUUGACAGAAAGGUGAGCGAAAUGCUUCUACACCGUGACUGUGACACUACGAAUGCUGACUUUAUUUGGGUACGUCACCAGGCACCACUCACUGUGAAAGACUGUGGCCCCCCCUCCCACACGGCCAACACCUAUUGCAUUUCAGUGAAACAUGUGGUGGUACUGUAACCUUAAGUAAUACGUCUCAAGCAUUUUAAUGUAUUUGCCUCUAGGUUUUGCUACAGAUAGACAUCGACUUUUUUACGUAAUACAAUUUAUAUCGUUGAAAUGUGCGCAUUGUAUGCGAUGGCAUGUACAUAAUAUAGGUACUGUGCUCAUUAAAUGUAAACUUAUGUUUUAAGUCUACUAUCAAGUGAUCCCGAUUGAAAUAAGAUCGACGAGGAUGAUCUCACGCGGGGAGACCCUAAUGAAUUAGCAGUUCAUCGCCUUAACCACUCGGCCACCUCGUCUUGUGCUCACUUUGAUAAAGUGGCGCAACAAUAACAGAACGCAUGAUACAGGCCUGCUCCGCAUAUCCUACAUGAAGCCCAUGGCCAACGAUUACGUCAGGAACAAGCCAGCAGCACGUGUUUGCCCGUAAGACUCCCUCCUGGCGACUGUCGAACGGCGAACGCGGACUUGAUGUGGACUCGUCACCAGGCACCACUCAUUCUGCAAGACUGUGAUCCGGGGCACUCCAGAGGGAGAUCACGAGGCCGUACAAAGAAAAGCUGAAUGAACAGUGUGAAACAGUCGGCGUCUGUUUCCAUGGGAGAGCUACUCACAGCAGCCCAAAACAAACUUGACUGGCGGAUGAUUACUGUGUAGUCGUCCCUCAUUAUGACGAUGAUGACACAAUUGAAAUUGAUAUUGUCAUUUAUAUGAAUAUUACAUGUCUUUAAAUUUCGUUCCAUAUAAAUGAGUUCAACACUUAUUGUAUUUCAGUGUAACGAUGUUAUUUAAACGUUAAGUAAUACGCCUCCAAAACAUAACAUGUUAUGUCCUUUUAAUUAUUACUAUUGUUAUAUACAACAAGCUACAUCGAUUGAGUGUGAGUUUUGAA